This 589-nucleotide ribosomal RNA is filed under the name uncultured bacterium. Its description in RNAcentral is "bacterial SSU rRNA". It matches the Rfam family "Bacterial small subunit ribosomal RNA", at positions 338 to 945 of the family's 1533-position model. The record is from RNAcentral.
CCUACGGGAGGCAGCAGUGGGGAAUAUUGGACAAUGGGCGAAAGCCUGAUCCAGCAAUGCCGCGUGAGUGAUGAAGGCCUUAGGGUUGUAAAGCUCUUUUACCAGGGAUGAUAAUGACAGUACCUGGAGAAUAAGCUCCGGCUAACUCCGUGCCAGCAGCCGCGGUAAUACGGAGGGAGCUAGCGUUGUUCGGAAUUACUGGGCGUAAAGAGUACGUAGGCGGUUAUUCAAGUCAGAGGUGAAAGCCCGGGGCUCAACCCCGGAACUGCCUUUGAAACUAGAUAGCUAGAGUCUUGGAGAGGUUAGUGGAAUUCCGAGUGUAGAGGUGAAAUUCGUAGAUAUUCGGAAGAACACCAGUGGCGAAGGCGACUAACUGGACAAGUACUGACGCUGAGGUACGAAAGCGUGGGGAGCAAACAGGAUUAGAUACCCUGGUAGUCCACGCCGUAAACGAUGAUAACUAGUUGUUCGGGCACUUGGUGCCUGAGUGACGCAGCUAACGCAUUAAGUUAUCCGCCUGGGGAUACGGUCGCAAGAUUAAAACUCAAAUGAAUUGACGGNNGAGAGNGCGAGACGACGACGAGGAGAG